This is a long non-coding RNA of Physeter macrocephalus (sperm whale), 3274 nucleotides long. RefSeq lists it as uncharacterized. The transcript is spliced from 7 exons. Lineage: Eukaryota; Metazoa; Chordata; Mammalia; Artiodactyla; Physeteridae. The record is from RefSeq and is a predicted model, not a curated record.
UGCAUGCCUGUGACGGUCCAGCCAGCAAUAAGCUCUGGGAAAGAAGUGGUGACAAAAUCAAUUCCCUGUUCCCAGCAGCUCAUAAACAAGGGUGAGGUGGCUGGAGCCAAAUGGGCGAAGAAACAUAUAUGUCAGGAGUGGUUUCCUAGAAAGAUGACAACUGCCACCAUUCACAGGAUCUUCCAAGAUGAGGAGGUCCUCUGGCCCCAAGGCUUGGCACAAAAGAAAUGGGAUGGCCCGUGGCUGGCUGGGCACACACUGUCUUAUGCUCAGCAACUUGUCUGGGAGCUCCGGUGUCCUGAGCCUUCUGUUUGCUCUUAAUCAGGAAGAUGGGCAUCAUUCCAUAGCAGUUUGCAAAUAGGACUCGGAAAGCAUGUUGCGGAACAAACAGAACUAUGCCUGUUUCCCAAAUGAUGAAGCUCCCAGGCUCGGAAGGAAACCCCUUCGGUUGUGUGCGAGGACCUUUUCUGCUCCCUGGGGUCCAAGGAAGUGGAGCUCUGGGCCUCAGGUCACCAUGGCACUGCCGAGACUGGCUCUUCACUCGUCUUGGUCCCUGGGGGGCAGCGGCGCUAUCGAGUCCUGGUGCAGCCCCCGGGUCUUCAUGCCCUGUCCCUGCGGGCAGUCGUGGCCAGCCCACCCCGACGCGACUCUUCCCCCUUUGCCGAGACCACCACUGGCACAGUCGACUCCCCUCUUCAACUCAAGCCGCCACUCUCAUCCCCCCUUCCCUCUGGAACCAACAGAUGGCUCCCUCUCCCCCGCCUCAGGGGCCUAAAACAUAACAGCUCUUUACUUGCGGAGUUGGGGUGGGUAGGUGAGAGAGUGCACCCUUUCAGAAACCCCAAAAUUACCUCUGCUUCCCAGAAUGGGAAGCGGGGAAGGGGAAAGAAGAAACUCUAUUCUUCCUUUGGGCAUUCAGAGCAAAAGCAUUAGCGAAUGCCACUUCUACGCCACACCCACACGGCUGAAACCAAACCAAACCCCAAAGACCAAUUUUUUGGUUUUACUAAAUUGCUCACCUUGUUACAUUAGCCUCAUUUCACAGACAAAGAAACCAAGGCUUAGAGGGUUUAGUUACUUCAACUGCCACUUGGCCUUGGGUCAGAGUUUGCAGAGAUACCUGCCUCACCAUUUGCAUACUCGGUGGGACCAGUGUCAGGUGGUGGGCACUGCCCCAAACUGUGUCCGCUGGGCUCUAAGCAGUUACUCACCUGCUGGGACACACCCUCCAUUACAACUUUAGCCACAGCCAGCAAACGGGUAGGACUUGACCAAGAGACAAUUACAUUCCAGCCACUGAAGGCAGAACUAGCUAAGCCUCCUUCAGAAAUGCAUCACCAUGGCUUAGGACUCUACAGCUUAGGUGUGCUUGAUUUUGAUCACCUCUCCUGGACCAGACACCCUGCUCACAGUUUUACGUAUAUUAUCAUAUCAUCCCCACAAGAAUCCUACUAUUAUCUUUGCUCUCCAGGUAAGGAAAAGGUUGCUAAGAGCGCUGAGUAACUUUCCCAAGUCCUGUAAUAAUCAGGUUGGCUAAGUGGGAUAUGAGCCUGAAUCUCCUAAUUUUAAUCCCCUGUUUUUCCCAUAAUGUAUCAGUGAAGAUAACUGGGAAAUUUCAUUUUUCAGAGAAAUAAAAGCAAGAGAGGGGAAUGCCAAUGUUCACUCCUUCCAUUUGUGGUGACACACGGGUAGACAGUGGACCACAGGGAAAGCAAUCAGACAUUUCAGUCUCAGGAACUCAGUGAUGGGAGAGCAGCCACUACAGUGGUUAUUCCACAAAGGACCACCAGGUAGCACCAUUGCACAACAGCUGCAUACCCAACAGCUCAACUCAGACCAGAAUGGGAGGAUGCAGCCUGGAGGAGUGGCCUGCUUUUCAUUAAGUCACUCGAAUGACCUGACAAGGGACUUUGGAGACAAGAUACACAGAGGGGAGACCCUAUGAAGACAUAGGGAGAAGACAGCCAUCUGCAAGCCAAGGAGAGAGGCCUCGGGAGAAACCAACCCUGCUGACACCUUGAUCUUGGACUUCUAUCCUCCAGAACGUUAUUGAAGGCCUGGCAGAGACCUCACCUGCCCCUGACGUGGCUGUGUCUGCCCUGACCGCUGGGGCUGGAAGGCUCUCUCUCAUCCCACAGGCCCCUGCUCCUCUCCCUGGCCACAGCUGGAUGGACCAGGGGACCCUUCAUGGGCCUCUGGGGCCUGGCAUAGAAACACGUGCCCGCCGGAGAGUGUGGGAUGGAGAAGUGAAGCUGAGCCAUUAGGUGACCGUGACUGAUGCCUGGACAGAGGACCACGUGGAGCCCGGAGCCACUUGUCAGUCAACAUUGGGAGAUGGGGGUACAGAGGCUGUGGGUAAACUGAGAGAGGUGGUGAGCAGAGGCAGGUGAGUGAGGAGGAUGGAUGGGGUGGGGGGCAGAGAGAGACCUGAUUCUUGUCCUCAUUUGUGAAACCCCCAAGGAGGCCUUGCAGCAAACCUUCCCUUUACUGGAGCCCACUUGCUGGGGCCUCUGUUCCUGCCAACGGAAGAGCUGGUUCACAUCUCCUGGACUGGACCUUGAGCGCCUCGAGGGCAGAUGCUGUGUCUCAUUCAGCUUUUAUUCCCCGCAGCACAUACCACGGGAGCAAGGCAGGGAGCGUGCAUAUGGGAACCGGCGCUACCUGUCUGCCUCGAAAACACGGUGUGUUUGAGCUUUAAUGCUGAGUGUGUGCAACCCAAGCCUGGGUAAGGAAUUAUUCAAAACCCAUGGGCACUUCACACCCACCAGGAGGGCCAUAAUCAAAAAGACGACAGUACCAAGUGUUGGUAAGGAUGUGGAGAGAUCAGAACCCUCAUACGCUGCUCCCAGGAAUGUAAAAUGGUGCACCAGCUGUGGGAAACAGUCUGGCAGUUACUCAAAAUGUUAAACAUAGAGUCAUCGUAUGACCCAGCAGUUGUACUCAAGAAAAAUGAAAACAUCCAUCCACCCAAAAACUUGUACAUGGAUAUGCAUAGCACCAUUAUUUAUAAUGGCCCCAAAUUAGAAACAACCCAAAUGUCCAUCAGCUGAUGAAUGAAUAAACAAAAUGUGGUCUGUCCAUACAAUGCUUCUUAUUUCAGAAUAAAAAGGGAUGAAGUACCGAUACAUACUACAACAUGGAUGGACCUUGAAAACACUGAGCUAAGUGAAUAUGCCAGUCGCAGAAGACCACACUUGAUUCCAUUUAUAUGAAAUGUCUAGAAUAGGAAAAUCCAUAGAGAUAGAAAGUAGAUUAGUGGUUGCCAGGACCUGGG